GAAUAAUCAGCCUGCUUCAAUAAUGAAUAGCCUCACCCUUUGAUUUAUUCAGUAUCUAGCCGUAUCCUUGCUUAAGAAACCCAGGGGCUAAUCUUGAAAUAAACCGGGCAUGAAUUUGAGAUUGUGGAAUCCUACAUUCUCAGAAAAAUCACUGAGGGGGGUUAAUCCAUAAGCUAGUUGCAGUCAUGGUGAUGCCAGCCAGACCUCCAGGUGAUCCGUUACUGAAGAUAGCCAUCAGAGUAAGACAUGCAAACCUGCACCCUGCACCACUCCUGCUCAUAGUUUCCAUGCCUCCUACUUCUUAAAAUCCCUUUAGCUAGCCUAAAAUUUUGAAAUAGUCUUUGAGGCGCUAGUCCACCAUCUCCUCAGGUUGCUAGCUCUUGAAUAAACCUGCUUUUCCUGCACCAACUCUUGUCUUGCAAGUCUUGCUUUUGAGCAGUGAGCAGUGAUCAGCUGACCCUUAGUUUGGUUACACUAUCACUCAGGAAAUUCCAAGCAUUUUAGAAGGUCUGUGGCAGGAACCAGGAACUAAGUUCAAAUUUAUUUUUUAUUAUACCACAGGUCCCAACUCCCAUGACUACCUGGAUGGUGACAAAGACGAAUUAUCUCUUCAUCCUUCUUUCUCACUCUAAAUAUACACAGACAUGCUAUUAGGAGGGAAAACUUUCCCUCUACCAACUUUGGUUCAGUGGGUGGGAGCCUGUGAAUUAACUAUAGACAGGUUAGCAGGGGGAAAGAAAACAAGUUGUAUUCAUAACUUGUGGAAGCAUUCAGAUGAAGAGGCUUGAUGAAGAGCUAGAGACAGAAGUUUAGUUAUCAACUCAUAGGGGAAAAGAAGGAGGGAGAAAUGACUUCUAUAGGAAAACAAAUGACUUUUGGGAAAGACAAAUAGAAGCUUUGGAUAAAGUUUUACACAAUUUUCUUGGAAUAUCUCCUGUCUGGGUGAAGUAAUCCUCACACGGUUAACAAGAAUCCUGGACAAAAAUAUAAUUAUGAGUAAGUGUUAAUCAGGCUACACUUUGACCCACUUCCUUGUAACCAAAACUCACGAACACUAGCUACUGAUAAUUUGCAUUCUCAUUGUUCCCAUAGAUAAGAUCUUUGACAUUAGAAUCAUAAGGCUUUUGUUUAAGAAUUGUUUAUGCAGAUCCUGAAUUCCGGCAGAACAGCUGACACCACCAACUUUAAAGAGCCCAACUGAUGAACUGAUCAGCAUGAGAAUACUGUUUUUUCAUCUCUCUGUCCCAUGACUUCACUCUGCAUUCUUCAACCAAUUAGUGAUCUCUUAUUUCCACCUACUCCAAAUCCUUAAAAACAACAGCCUCAAACUCUUUGAGGAAAUGGAUUUGAGGUUUCCUUCCAUCUUUUGGUUCAGCAGCCCUGCAAUUAAACCUCUUUCUCUGCUGCAACCCAGUGUCUUGGCAUAUUGACAUGCUGUGCACAUCAGGCAAAAGACCUAUUACCAUUACAUGAGGACCCCUCCGGAGGGAGAUAAUGGUGGGGGCAUUUCUGGGAGGCUCUGCUUUAGUCAGGUGAGAGAAGUUCAGGGUGCACGUGUUGCCGCAGGAAUCGCUGGUACAUGCCAUCCUGGCCAUAGGAGGGCUGGACCAGCCCCAGCCCCAGCAGGGUCAGCAGCAAAAGCAGAAGCAAUGAAUGGGUCCUCUGCAGAGCCAUCAGUAUCUUAGAGGUGCCUAGAAAAGAAAGCAAGGGGCAGGAGAAAUAAGGUAAGAACUGGGCACUGGAAAAAGGUGUUGAGAAUAGCAAGCCGGCAUCCUGACUCCAUAGUCUCCUCUUUCCUCCUUCUUAUAUGCACCAUCUCCCCACUCAUCUCUGCUACUUUUCCCACCCUUCUUCCUCAAGAGUGAGUAGUUUGCAAACAUGAUCUUUUCUGAAAGCAAGACCUUUCUCAUUUACAGAGAGAAGUUGCUGUGGCCAGUACAAUGACACAGGGCAGGGACUGACUGCGUGGCUGCCAGGUUUGUGUGGACAGAGUAUAAAAAGAGAGAAAAGGUGAACCUACAUGAAACUGCAGUUGUGUGUCUCUUGGGGGAACUCCGUAGGUGUAUGAUCUUUGGGGAGUGUUUGGUUCCCGGGAGGCUCCAAUUCCCGACAGUUUGGAUAGACUCAGCAUACGUCACAGAAAGUUUACAAACUACUUUUAAUACCUUACAUCUGGGAAUCUAGGUGGAGGAAGAGGACAGAGGAAUAUUUAGGCUUUGCCUUUCCUCUCACAUGACUAUUGUUUUUCUUUGUCAUUAAUUUUAUUAUUUUUCUUUUCUUUUUUGUCAUGUGGCUAUUAUUCUAAUGUGAUUUAAAAUCUAUUCUAAUUCUAGAAUAAUAUAUGUUAUACAUUAAUUUAAAAUGUAUUAUUCUAAUUCUAAUGUAAAAUCAGGUCCUUUUGGAAAUCCUUUUAAUUCUAUUUUUUAAAAAAAAGCAAAACCAGAAUACCCAGUUACAGUUCUUAGAAGACAGUUGAUAAUAGCUACUGUUUGAAUGAACUAAUAAGUGAAAUGAGUAAGCUAAUGAACAAAUGCAAUUAAAUGGAUAGAGUAAAGAUGUUUCCCAGGCUUAUGAAAUUGACUAAUAAGAAAAGCUAAGAAAUGUUUAAAAAAUAAAUUUAAACAGCACAAUAUUCUCAAAAGAAAACUUGGAUUGUGUCUUCUUCUCCUUGCUGUUUCUAUGCAUAACCUAAAAAAUCUAGGCCAUGGAGAUACAUUGCUUUGUCUUGCAUCUAUUCUUGAUGUUCCUUCUGUCUUGUCAAUAGUUGUUGGUAGCUGUCUGUCUUCUCUGGUUGCAGCAUCAUUGUGUUGUCACCUCUUGGCAGUGAAAAAUAGGCAUAUAUUUUAUAGCAUUAAAAAAAAAAGCCAGAGUGGCAACAAAAAAAGCAUUGCCAUGUAGUUUCAGAACAUUCAUUGCUUUCAUUGACAGAUUAAAGAAAGGAAUCCAGGCCUAUCUUAGUCUACACCCUGUGCUCUUUCCACUAUCUACUGCCUCUCUCAUCCCACACCCAAAAUAUUCAGGAUAUCAAAGACAUUUAUGCUCAGAAUUGCUACUUCCCAGCAGCAGAGUUUAAUCAAGACUGGAGGUGGACUCACUCACCAACUGACUAGCCAGAUGCUGCCAUCUGGCCGUCACUCCUGGAAUUGAUGUGAAUUGUGAAUCGGCUUGAUUCUUGCAGUGUAGCAGGGCUGAUUCACUACAGCAAAGAAAAAUCAUCCCUGAUUCAAUAGGAAGUGAGCAACGCAAAUUAGCAAGGGCAAUGUUUUGAGAGUCAGGCAGCCCAACUCUGUAUGUGCAGUCCAAGGACUGACCCCAGUUGAACUCCUAGUUUGAUGUAUAUGGGUACUAUUGUCUUUUGAUUUCAAAUUCUGCUUCGUAAUGGUGGAUCACACUGUGUGAAUGACUGAAAUGGCUUCCAAACGACCUGUACCUUACUUUGUUCUGCUGAAAGGCUACCUUUUCAUUAUUGAUAAUGAAAGCAGUAUCAAACAUGGAUAUUGUUCUUUUAAAUGCCACCUCCUAUAUCCAUAGCCAUCUUUUGCCUUUGCACAUAAAGAUAUCAAGCUGUAUGUCAUAUCUGUGUGCCUGCAGCUGUAGAUGUGAGAUACAGUGUUAGGAAGAGAGGGAAGUAAAGAGGUUGUGGGAGGAAGGGCAGAUGUUUGAUUUCCUUUUUGCCCCAAGAACAAUGCAUACAACUUCUGAAGGUAUACUUAGUACUUGGAUUAUAGCUUCAGCAGAUCAAUAUACUUUGGUUUGCUCUUCCGGUGGCACCUCGAGUUUCCAUGGUUUUAUCUACUUUCUCUCAUCCUGAUUCUUUGUGACCAAAAAUAUGGUUUAGCAAGAUGACUAGCUACAGAGAAAACCUCACCUAUGCAUGCGAGAGCAGACCCAGGACGUCAGCUUUUCUGCACUACUCAAGUAAACAAGACAUAGAGAAAUAUUUGAGGACAGCAGGCCAGUGUGGAUACCAAUGGGUGCAUCUCAAAGCUGUAGCUACAAGAGAAAAUUGAAUGAUCUCCACAUCAUCCCAACGCACACUUUUGGGUCAGGAUUUUCCCCAAACGCUUUCUCCACUGCACCACCCUGACUCACAGUAAGAACUUCUUUUGACACCGUGGUCUAAAAGACUGAGGCUGUGACCAUGAGAAAAUUACUUAAUCUCUCUCAGCAGAUUUCCUCAUAAGCAAAAUGAGCAUGUAAUACCUACCUCUUAGGGAUGUUAUGAAAAGAAAAUCAAUCUAAGCGCCUAUAACAAGGCCUAGCACAGGGUAAAUGCUCAGUAAAUAUUGGCAAUUACUGCAUUUUUUUUUUUUUACCACUUCCAUUUUUCUUGGUUUCCUCUGCUUCUGUCAAUCUGGAUAAAAUAAUGAAUGACUACAGAGUUGCAUAUAUUAUUGACUCCUCUUUAUUUCGUAGAGCUAACUGUAUUCUCAAGAUAUUGGAAGUCUGUUUUUAAACUAUAAAAUAUCUCAGCUACUAGAUUCCUAGAAAAAUGUUUCUUCUCCAAAUUGCAUGGAAUUUUCUUCCUUGCAUGUCACUAUUCUUCAAAGCAUUUAGCAUUUUGGAGUGUUCCUUCUUUUUCCUUGCAAAGCCAACAAUCACAGCUGACCAGGACUUCAAUUCUUCAAUUGAUUCACGCAGGAUAAAAUGACCUGCCUGUGACUUGACGUUUUAUUUUAAACAGCUUGUGGUUGUGAUAGAACAAGAGGCCCAGACCAAAAAGGACUAGGAAUGCUUGCUCAGGUGCCAGUACCAUCGGCAGGUCAGGAAACACUCCCAUCCCACUGCCAUGUGAUUUCCUAUGAAACAGCGAUUUCCCUGAACACCAGAGCAAACUAUGCGAUGAUAAUGCUCCAAGCAGAUGUUUGGAGAAGAUGUGGGUUUUCACAGCUUAUGCUGUGAUCAAUAUAAUAAUGGUCCAUGCCUUUCACUUGCCCUAUCAAGGCCUUGAGUGGCAGCGAUGAUCUUGAGUAACUUUGCCUCACCUCAAGGAAAUAGCACUGGUUGGAGAACUUGAGAAAAGGGCCCAAAUAGUUUACCAGAAACUGGGACUUUCUCAUUUCCUGAGAGGUUUUUGAGAUUUGGUAAUAUGGCAAAUUUUCUAGUGACAGAGGUUUGGAAUACUUUUUCCUAUUUUCUUAAGGAAUGACAGUGUUUUCAGUUUUGAAACAGACUAACCCAAGGAAGAGAGAUUCUUGUGCUAAGCACAUACCAGCUACCUACUUCUCAAACCCAUUCCUAAAUUUGAAUACUUUCAGUGAGGCUGGGCUCUCCUAGGUGGUACCUGGACAAUGUUCUAUAACCUGAGUAUUGGGGAGCCACGGCUUUUGGCCCAUUUCAGGGCAAUACCAGGAGCAGGAGAAGCCACCAUAGGGAAUACUGAGACCACAAUAAUUAUGUGUUCACAAGGCAGUGAAACUGGCGACUUAUAACUAAUUUAUUGGCAACCACUUUCUAAAUAAAAUAUCCAAGUACCUGUCAACAGAAAUUAGUUAACAGGAAGCUAACCACUGAGUCUGUAGAUUGAACAGUGUAUUUUACAAAGAGUGUGUUAACCUAAGUUAUGUUAACUUAAAAACAAAUCUUGAGAAUUGAGGAAGAAUAAGGGAUAAACUGGGAUAAACUGGGAUCUUUC
Molecule: long non-coding RNA, 5635 nt
Filed under: Homo sapiens (human)
Lineage: Eukaryota; Metazoa; Chordata; Mammalia; Primates; Hominidae
Description: HSALNT0207865
Source: RNAcentral